This 65-nucleotide transfer RNA is filed under the name Tonna galea. Its description in RNAcentral is "tRNA-His". It matches the Rfam family "tRNA". From Rfam's summary of the family: Transfer RNA (tRNA) molecules are approximately 80 nucleotides in length. Their secondary structure includes four short double-helical elements and three loops (D, anti-codon, and T loops). Further hydrogen bonds mediate the characteristic L-shaped molecular structure. tRNAs have two regions of fundamental functional importance: the anti-codon, which is responsible for specific mRNA codon recognition, and the 3' end, to which the tRNAs corresponding amino acid is attached (by aminoacyl-tRNA synthetases). tRNAs cope with the degeneracy of the genetic code in two manners: having more than one tRNA (with a specific anti-codon) for a particular amino acid; and 'wobble' base-pairing, i.e. permitting non-standard base-pairing at the 3rd anti-codon position. The record is from RNAcentral. Lineage: Eukaryota; Metazoa; Mollusca; Gastropoda; Littorinimorpha; Tonnidae.
GUCAAGUUAGUUUAACAUAAAACGUCAAUCUGUGGAGUUGAAAAUAGAAAAUCUUCUACUUGACU